Molecule: long non-coding RNA, 334 nt
Organism: Suricata suricatta (meerkat)
Lineage: Eukaryota; Metazoa; Chordata; Mammalia; Carnivora; Herpestidae
Exons: 2
Source: RefSeq, a predicted model, not a curated record
AGGCCCUUGAUAAGUCACAAGGCAUCCCAAACUCUCACAUGACACGGGCUGAAUCCUAAAGUAAGGACCUCUCAGUUCCCACCAGGGGCAUGGCGACAUGAUUGUUGGAUCCUGACUGAGUUUCCUGGACCAGAGAGAAGAAAACUAACGUUGACUUGUAACUCUCUCAUCAUCUCUGUCGUUUCACAUUGCUCAUCCACUGUGCUGUGUCCAAUCACUUUAUAUAUGAAUGAUAGAGAUGUUACUGAAGAAUCUUCCGGAAAGGUGACAGCGAAGAAAUCAUAACCAAAUCCUGCCUUUCACCAAAUUAAAUUCAGUUCCUUUAUACAACUUA